This 253-nucleotide ribosomal RNA is filed under the name uncultured bacterium. RNAcentral describes it as "partial 16S ribosomal RNA". It matches the Rfam family "Bacterial small subunit ribosomal RNA", at positions 524 to 776 of the family's 1533-position model. The record is from RNAcentral.
UACGAAGGGGGCUAGCGUUGCUCGGAAUUACUGGGCGUAAAGGGAGCGUAGGCGGAUAGUUUAGUCAGAGGUGAAAGCCCAGGGCUCAACCUUGGAAUAGCCUUUGAUACUGACUGUCUUGAGUUCGGGAGAGGUGAGUGGAAUGCCGAGUGUAGAGGUGAAAUUCGUAGAUAUUCGGCGGAACACCAGUGGCGAAGGCGACUCACUGGCCCGAUACUGACGCUGAGGCGCGAAAGCGUGGGGAGCAAACAGG